CUGAAAGCAUCUAAGCGCGAAACUCGCCCCAAGAUGAGACAUCCAGUUUACAAAACGAAGGACCGUGGGAGACGACCACGUUGAUAGGCGGCCGGUAUACGUAGCGAAAUCUACUUUAGCCUAGCCGUACUAAUCAUCCAAA
RNAcentral lists this ribosomal RNA (142 nucleotides) under Cytophagales bacterium. RNAcentral describes it as "partial 23S ribosomal RNA". It matches the Rfam family "Bacterial large subunit ribosomal RNA", at positions 2771 to 2912 of the family's 2925-position model. The record is from RNAcentral. Lineage: Bacteria; Pseudomonadati; Bacteroidota; Cytophagia; Cytophagales.